CAUCAAGGUGAGUGUCGGUAAAUACUGCCUGAAAAUUUCCCUGGUGGGGGGGGAUAACUUUGGAAAAGUGGUGUUUAUCCUGAUAAAAUGGUCGGGCUCAAAAGGGGGGGCCUUUUGGGCCUUCUGGGGUCGAGUAUACCCCAGAUGGGAUUAAGUUAGUGGGGGGGGUAAAGGCUCCACCAAAGGAGGAGGAUCCUUAGGGUUGUUUGGACGGGGUGGUUCAGCCAACAUGGGAAUUUGAGACCCGGUUCCAGAUUCUUACGGGAGGCAGCAGUGGGGAAUAUUGCACAAUGGGCGCAAGCUUGAUGCAGCCAUGCCGGGUGUGUGAAGAAGGCCUUCGGGUUGUAAAGCACUUUCAGUCGUGAGGAAGGUAGUGUAGUUAAUAGCUGCAUCGUUUGACGUUAGCGACAGAAGAAGCACCGGCUAAUUCCGUGCCAGCAGCCGCGGUAAUACGGAGGGUGCGAGCGUUAAUCGGAAUUACUGGGCGUAAAGCGCAUGCAGGUGGUUAGUUAAGUCAGAUGUGAAAGCCCGGGGCUCAACCUCGGAACUGCAUUUGAAACUGGCUGACUAGAGUACUGUAGAGGGGGGUAGAAUUUCAGGUGUAGCGGUGAAAUGCGUAGAGAUCUGAAGGAAUACCGGUGGCGAAGGCGGCCCCCUGGACAGAUACUGACACUCAGAUGCGAAAGCGUGGGGAGCAAACAGGAUUAGAUACCCUGGUAGUCCACGCCGUAAACGAUGUCUACUUGGAGGUUGUGGCCUUGAGCCGUGGCUUUCGGAGCUAACGCGUUAAGUAGACCGCCUGGGGAGUACGGUCGCAAGAUUAAAACUCAAAUGAAUUGACGGGGGCCCGCACAAGCGGUGGAGCAUGUGGUUUAAUUCGAUGCAACGCGAAGAACCUUACCUACUCUUGACAUCCAGAGAACUUAGCAGAGAUGCUUUGGUGCCUUCGGGAACUCUGAGACAGGUGCUGCAUGGCUGUCGUCAGCUCGUGUUGUGAAAUGUUGGGUUAAGUCCCGCAACGAGCGCAACCCUUAUCCUUGUUUGCCAGCACUUCGGGUGGGAACUCCAGGGAGACUGCCGGUGAUAAACCGGAGGAAGGUGGGGACGACGUCAAGUCAUCAUGGCCCUUACGAGUAGGGCUACACACGUGCUACAAUGGCGCAUACAGAGGGCGGCCAACUUGCGAAAGUGAGCGAAUCCCAAAAAGUGCGUCGUAGUCCGGAUUGGAGUCUGCAACUCGACUCCAUGAAGUCGGAAUCGCUUGUAAUCGUGGAUCAGAAUGCCACGAUGAAUACCUUCCUAUAGCUUUUACCCCCCUCUCUGUAUCGUGUCGCACUACGAGAGAUAUCUCCUAGUAGU
Molecule: ribosomal RNA, 1359 nt
Filed under: Vibrio sp. CSMCRI-1107
Lineage: Bacteria; Pseudomonadati; Pseudomonadota; Gammaproteobacteria; Vibrionales; Vibrionaceae
Description: partial 16S ribosomal RNA
Rfam family: Bacterial small subunit ribosomal RNA
Source: RNAcentral